This 468-nucleotide ribosomal RNA is filed under the name uncultured bacterium. Its description in RNAcentral is "partial 16S ribosomal RNA". It matches the Rfam family "Bacterial small subunit ribosomal RNA", at positions 28 to 507 of the family's 1533-position model. The record is from RNAcentral.
GACGAACGCUGGCGGCGUGCUUAACACAUGCAAGUCGAACGGAAAGGCCCUGCUUUUGUGGGGUGCUCGAGUGGCGAACGGGUGAGUAACACGUGAGUAACCUGCCCUUGACUUUGGGAUAACUUCAGGAAACUGGGGCUAAUACCGGAUAGGAGCUCCUGCUGCAUGGUGGGGGUUGGAAAGUUUCGGCGGUUGGGGAUGGACUCGCGGCUUAUCAGCUUGUUGGUGGGGUAGUGGCUUACCAAGGCUUUGACGGGUAGCCGGCCUGAGAGGGUGACCGGCGACAAGGGGACUGAGGGACGGCCCAGACGCCUACGGGAGGCAGCGGGGGGGAGUAUUGCACAGUGGGCGGGAGCCUGAGGCAGCAACGCCGCGUGCGGGAUGACGGCCUUCGGGUUGUAAACCGCUUUCGCCUGUGACGAAGCGUGAGUGACGGUAAUGGGUAAAGAAGCACCGGCUAACUACGUG